RNAcentral lists this transfer-messenger RNA (395 nucleotides) under Eubacterium aggregans. It matches the Rfam family "transfer-messenger RNA". From Rfam's summary of the family: Bacterial tmRNA, also known as 10Sa RNA or SsrA, is named for its dual tRNA and mRNA-like properties. Its role is to liberate the mRNA from a stalled ribosome. RNAcentral also lists the same sequence under 1 other name. Lineage: Bacteria; Bacillati; Bacillota; Clostridia; Eubacteriales; Eubacteriaceae. The record is from Rfam by way of RNAcentral.
GGGGCCGUAAAGGUUUCGACGGGGAUAGUGAAGCUGGAGUAGCGAGCCGAUGUGUCGGACAUCGUAAAAAACGGCAACUAAAUAUAAACGCAAAAGAAAACAGAAGUUACGGAAUGGCUUUAGCUGCUUAAUUGCAGUUAAGUCAAACUGAACUCAACCGCGGCACCUAAUUGCCGCACGCCCCUUUCCAAGACCUGCGCUGGUAAGCUUGGCGUUCAUAACUAGCAGGGAACCGCUACUGGGCAUUGCCUCGUCCCUUUAGCGACUAAGAGGCUGGCUCCAAACACCUCGGUCAUCGGAAGGUGCCUGGAGUAAGAUUAAUCCGAUGGCUGCGCUCGGAGAAGCUUCAGUGAAUUUGUUUUCGGACGUGGGUUCGACUCCCACCGGCUCCACCA